AAUCAACGCUGGCGGCGUGCCUAACACAUGCAAGUCGAGCGCGAAAGGGGAGUAAUCCCCAAGUAGAGCGGCGAACGGGUGAGUAACGCGUGGGUGAUCUACCUCCGAGUGGGGAAUAACCCCGGGAAACUGGGGCUAAUACCGCAUGACAUCCCUGAGUCACAUCGGGGAUCAAAGCCGGGGACCGCAAGGCCUGGCGUUUGGAGAUGAGCCCGCGUCCGAUUAGCUAGUUGGCGGGGAACGGCCCACCAAGGCUUCGAUCGGUAGCCGGCCUGAGAGGGCGGACGGCCACACUGGGACUGAGACACGGCCCAGACUCCUACGGGAGGCAGCAGUGGGGAAUUUUUCGCAAGUGGGGGAAACCCUGACGAAGCAACGCCGCGUGGAGGAUGAAGGCC
RNAcentral lists this ribosomal RNA (398 nucleotides) under uncultured bacterium. RNAcentral's name for it is "bacterial SSU rRNA". It matches the Rfam family "Bacterial small subunit ribosomal RNA", at positions 29 to 416 of the family's 1533-position model. The record is from RNAcentral.